This 254-nucleotide ribosomal RNA is filed under the name uncultured bacterium. Its description in RNAcentral is "partial 16S ribosomal RNA". It matches the Rfam family "Bacterial small subunit ribosomal RNA", at positions 524 to 776 of the family's 1533-position model. The record is from RNAcentral.
CACGGGGGGAGCAAGCGUUGUUCGGAAUUACUGGGCGUAAAGCGCGCGCAGGCGGCCCUUUAAGUCCGUCGGUCAAAUGCCGGGGCUCAACCCCGUGCCCGCCGCGGAUACUGGAGGGCUGGAGACACGUAGAGGCAAGCGGAAUUCCGGGUGUAGCGGUGGAAUGCGUAGAGAUCCGGAAGAACACCGGAGGCGAAGGCGGCUUGCUGGGCGUAGUCUGACGCUGAGGCGCGAAAGCGUGGGGAGCGAACAGG